Molecule: long non-coding RNA, 867 nt
Filed under: Homo sapiens (human)
Lineage: Eukaryota; Metazoa; Chordata; Mammalia; Primates; Hominidae
Description: HSALNT0299298
Source: RNAcentral
GUGAUGGCUAAUACUGAGUGUCAACUUGAUUGGAUUGAAGGAUACAAAGUAUUGAUCCUGGAUGUGUCUGUGAGGGUGUUGCCAAAGGAGAUUGACAUUUGAGUCAGUGGAGUGGGAAAGGCAGACCCACCCUUGGGUGGGCACAGUCCAAUCAGCUGCCGGCAUGGCUAGAAUAUAAGCAGGCAGAAAAAUGUGAAAAGAGAGAGACUGGCGUAGCCUCCCAGCCUACAUCUUUCUCCCGUGCUGGAUGCUUCCUGCCCUCGAACACUGGACUCCAAAUUCUUCAGUUUUGGAACUCAGACUGGCUCUCCUUGCUCCUUAGCCUGCGGUGGCCUACUGUGGGACCUUGUGAUUGUUGCUGGGGAUGCCAGAGUUGGAAUUCAAGACCCAGGGAGAAGGGCUUCAGUCAGCACUCCAGUACCUCAGCUGGGAAUCCUGGAGGCUAUACCCUAUGUAUGGGGAAAAUGAGAGGUAGAUGGAAACUAAAAAACAAACAAACAAACCAGUCCCUGAUUAGUUGUGACUUUAUCUGCCUACCAGAAAAUAGGACUAGCCCUCUCUGGAAGAUGAUAGCAUUAUCCAGAACCUCAUACACAAAAUUUACCCAGGACACUCAUGAAGAGGAGGAAGAAAAGACAACAUAAACAGACAUACAGGUCACCUACUUAUUGGAGUUAACAGAUGGAUGUUCAAAUCUGUAUUAUUCUUAUAUUCAAGAGAAUGAAUGACAAAGAGUAGAAUUCCACUGGAGAACUAGUUAACCAAGGCUAGAUGGCUUCAUUGAAAGACUUUGUCAAGCAUGAAUAAAGCCACUAUAAAUAUUCUUGCACAAGUCUCUUUGUGAAUACAUUUUUAUUCCUUUAGGUA